RNAcentral lists this ribosomal RNA (446 nucleotides) under uncultured bacterium. RNAcentral describes it as "partial 16S ribosomal RNA". It matches the Rfam family "Bacterial small subunit ribosomal RNA", at positions 338 to 795 of the family's 1533-position model. The record is from RNAcentral.
CCUACGGGAGGCUGCAGUCGAGAAUCAUUCACAAUGGGGGAAACCCUGAUGGUGCGACGCCGCGUGGGGGAAUGAAGGUCUUCGGAUUGUAAACCCCUGUCAUGUGGGAGCAAAUUAAAAAGAUAGUACCACAAGAGGAAGAGACGGCUAACUCUGUGCCAGCAGCCGCGGUAAUACAGAGGUCUCAAGCGUUGUUCGGCAUCACUGGGCGUAAAGCGUGCGUAGGCUGUUUCGUAAGUCGUGUGUGAAAGGCGGGGGCUCAACCCGCGGACGGCACAUGAUACUGCGAGACUAGAGUAAUGGAGGGGGAACCGGAAUGCUCGGUGUAGCAGUGAAAUGCGUAGAUAUCGAGAGGAACACUCGUGGCGAAGGCGGGUUCCUGGACAUUAACUGACGCUGAGGCACGAAGGCCAGGGGAGCGAAAGGGAUUAGAUACCCUUGUAGUC